GAUUGGUGAAGUUCUAGUUAUGUCUGCAGUGCUAAAUAUUACAUACACCAAAUAUUUACAUUUUAAAAAGACAUAACCUUUUUUAUUGUCUGGUAUUAAAUCUGAUUAAGCUUUAUCUGUUGAAGGCUAAAUAGGAUGACUGAAAUUAACAGGUCGAUCUCUAUAACAAAGGGACAGUUGGUGUUACAAUAAUGUUUGAUGUUGAUACUAUUAUAGUUUCGGACUCUUCUCUGGUUCUGUUGGAUCCAUGUGAUGGUGCCACCUGCUGCUGGUUUAAGGCAUCGUCUUUGGUUACAGUGUUUAGGAAUGCUGCUGGUGUAACUGGCUGAGACGUGGUGCAUUUACCACCUGUCCCACCAUGUCACAUCUUUAACUGGCCCCUUACCACCAGUAGCUAAGCACUGUGUAGCUAACUCAGCUGAAUUGGUUUCAGCAAUUCAGGGUUCUGAUCUCAAACUUUUCCAACAAUAUUACGUCACAGGAAAACAUUAUAUAUAUAAAAAUAACAGAUUUUCAAUUAAUUGUCGAUUAAUAGUUUAUUAGAUUGAAAUGAAAUCAGAUCGAUUAACUGAUAACGUCCGUUUAGACCUGCUUUUAAUGUCGUAGUUUGGACGCCAUCCAGCAGAGGGCGCCGCUGGGCAUCCAUAAGCAUCAACAAAGAUGGCGGAUAACAGGAAAGAUAAAAUAGGGUCCGGUAUGGGAUUCAAGAUGUUCUUUAUGCGGUGCGUUUUGAAAUAUAAGUUUAAUAUUUAAGUUUCAUGUUAGUAGCGCUCAUUUAGAUGAGCUGCGUGACGGAGUAGCGUCAAGUUUAUCAACCAAAAAUUAAAGAUGUGCCGUGAAGGGGAGGAUGUGACGGCAGAAAAGCGGUUUCUACCAAAGAAAAACUGACAUGAUGGGGGGAAAAACAUGAUGAUUUUGAGGGCCGGCAUGAGUUAAUUCACUUUAUGAAGCAAUUUUUUAACAUUCUCUCUGUUUCACAUAUUAUUUUGUGAUAUUUUUUCACAUAUUAUUUAAUAUUUUAUUUUUUCUGUUUAGCAACCUAAGGUUAACAUUUUGUUAGAUUUUAUAUAAAAUAAUAAUGAUACCAUUUGUGUUUUUUUUGUUUUUUUUUUAAAUUUAGCAUAUGAAAAAUGUAGCCCCUCGUGUUUUGGAAAGAUGAUCGUCCAUCUUGAUUUUUAGGAAAGUGACCGCUUAUCAAGUUAUCCUUAGUCAGUCGAUAAGAUCAAUCAAAUCUAGAUUAACUCAAUAAUCAAUCAAUUCUAUUCCAUAUUAAUAUUUCUGAUUAGAUCAUUCUAAACUUCUUAGCAUUUAGUUCCCACAGCAGCAGUCACUGGCAUCUCAAAAAGAGCUCAUUGUAAAUAAAUCCAUCGAUUAGAGGAGUAGUAAUCUGGGGUUGACCAGUGGUCUUGUGUUUGGGUACACCAGCUUUUUGGCUCCUUGGGGGUUGGGUGCUCACAUAAAGCAGCUUUGUGCCGUACGAACUUGAGCCACAAGUACCAGCUGGCAAGCUGUUACGCAAUCACAACAGAAACGUAAAGUAAAAGCUGCGUAUGGACACACUGUCACACCCACGCUUCGCUUCCAGCCCCGGGCGCUUCAUUCUGACUCCACCAGUCCCACACACAAGCACGCAGUAACACCCUCCUCCAGAUUGAACGCGAUGCAGUAUGAGGACAAGAUGGUUGCAAUAUGAGGCAGAGGGAGAUUAGAACUGUCCCGGAUUGACAGGCGGGCUUAUGUCAGUGACCUCGUUUUGCUGCUUGCUUGUCACAGAUGUGCUGGUCCUGAUGCAGAGGCUGCAAGAUGUCAGGCUGAGGAGGGCGUGAACUCAACGGAGGUUCCUGUAAAUUAUCUGGAUGUUGUGUUCUUGUGAGAUUUGCUUACUUGUGUUCAAACUGACAGCAGGAGGUCUUGGUUAGUCAGCAUGAAAAAAUGCUUGUGCUGGGUUUGUGACGUAACGUCUCCUGCUUGGUGCCUUUGUAAAUUACAUGGUUGAAAGCGGAGGGAGUGACAUAUGACUGCGAUGAGAAACUUAUUACUUACAGAGUUUUUUUGGCUCUGUUUUAGCAACUGGAAGGAAAGCUUAAUCUUUAAGAGUGUUAAUUUGUUCCAGUUUGAACAAAUACAAUGCAUUGUUAAGGUAUUUUUACUCACUGACAUUUUAGUGUUGAUCAACUACCAACUUUAAAUUUUAUUGGGAUUGGUUCUAAAGAAAAUUAUUCAAUAAAAGAUGCAGACAAGUGCAGAACAGGUUUAUCUGAUUUGUUUGCCUUUAUUAGAGAGUGUCAAGAAGAAGCCCCAUAUGGAGGCCAUGCAAAGACCCAAGACUUAGACCUGAACAUUCAGAGCCAAAUAAAGACAGUUACAAAGUCGGCCUUUGUAACUGUCGACUUUAAAAAGGACUAGAAAUGUUCUAGUCCUAAAUCCUAGAACAUUUCCAGGAUUAAAGGACUAAUGUCCCAACAAGUUCUAGAGGAACUCAUUCAUGUGCCUCUAAUCUGGAACAAACUUCCAGAAAACUGCAAACAUGCUGAAACACCGAGUUCCUUUGAAUCAACGCCACAAAAAUUGUCCUUCAAUUAACAACAAGUGGAAAAUCA
Molecule: long non-coding RNA, 2600 nt
Organism: Xiphophorus hellerii (green swordtail)
Lineage: Eukaryota; Metazoa; Chordata; Actinopteri; Cyprinodontiformes; Poeciliidae
Exons: 2
Source: RefSeq, a predicted model, not a curated record